AAGCAAGCCAUAUAACCUGUGUGAGAUAAGCUAAUUCUUGGACAAUGAUCCAUAUGGGAAAUUUAUAUAUUUCAGUUAGUUUUCCGUUAUAUAUUGCUAAUAUUGGAAUUUGGAAAUCAUCAUUAAUUUUCUUUUCUUGUUAUUAUUUUCUCAUUUAGCUUCUUUGUUGUGAGGCUUACUCUAGUCAGUCAUGUCUUCUUGUUGCUUUCAAGCUACCGUAUUUUAUAGGUUUGCAUUGCUUGUGCAUUUUAACUGUGGAGUAGUAGUCAUGUACUGUCUUUGUGCGUAUCAUAUGGUGGCCACCAGCUCAGUGGGGUCUUUUUACCCUUUCUCCAUUUAUUGAAUUAUUUCAAUUUAUAAAUUGCAUGGUGGAUAUAUAUAUAUAUUUCUUGCGUUAAUUUCUAUUUAUCAUACAUUUAAAAUAUGAACUUGUAAAUUUUAUCAUACAUUUUGCAUCUUAAAUAAUCUAGUAUACAUAAAAUUUUCUACAUGAGUAUUUUUUAUAUUGAUUGUGUCGUAAUAAUAAUGUCAAAGAUAACGUUUUUGUGUGAUUAAUUUUGCAGAACGAAGAACAAGGUGAAUGCA
Molecule: unclassified non-coding RNA, 585 nt
Filed under: Hevea brasiliensis (rubber tree)
Lineage: Eukaryota; Viridiplantae; Streptophyta; Magnoliopsida; Malpighiales; Euphorbiaceae
Source: RNAcentral